This 243-nucleotide long non-coding RNA is filed under the name Solanum tuberosum (potato). Its description in RNAcentral is "long non-coding RNA (STUB_LNC001765)". The record is from RNAcentral. Lineage: Eukaryota; Viridiplantae; Streptophyta; Magnoliopsida; Solanales; Solanaceae.
UUAUGAAUAAGUAUGUGAACUGUUAAACGGUCUAUUUGACUGAUGUUAUGAACUUAUGAUUAUUCUAUAUUUACUGAGUUUUCCUAAAAGAUUAUUAGAGAGGCUAACAUUAUGACAUAUGCAGAUACAGUAGAUGUUAUCAAUUAUGAACUUAUGAUUAUUCUAUACUUACUGAGUUUUCCUAAGAGAUUAUUAGAGAGGCUAGCAUAAUGACAUAUGUAGAUGCGGUAACAAUACACUUAC